RNAcentral lists this ribosomal RNA (253 nucleotides) under uncultured bacterium. Its description in RNAcentral is "partial 16S ribosomal RNA". It matches the Rfam family "Bacterial small subunit ribosomal RNA", at positions 524 to 776 of the family's 1533-position model. The record is from RNAcentral.
UACGGAGGGGGCUAGCGUUGUUCGGAAUUACUGGGCGUAAAGCGCACGUAGGCGGAUAUUUAAGUCAGGGGUGAAAUCCCGGGGCUCAACCCCGGAACUGCCUUUGAUACUGGGUAUCUCGAGUCCGAGAGAGGUGAGUGGAAUUCCGAGUGUAGAGGUGAAAUUCGUAGAUAUUCGGAGGAACACCAGUGGCGAAGGCGGCUCACUGGCUCGGUACUGACGCUGAGGUGCGAAAGCGUGGGGAGCAAACAGG